Molecule: ribosomal RNA, 500 nt
Filed under: uncultured bacterium
Lineage: Bacteria
Description: partial 16S ribosomal RNA
Rfam family: Bacterial small subunit ribosomal RNA
Source: RNAcentral
AUUGAACGCUGGCGGCAGGCCUAACACAUGCAAGUCGAGCGGAUGACGGGAGCUUGCUCCUUGAUUCAGCGGCGGACGGGUGAGUAAUGCCUAGGAAUCUGCCUGGUAGUGGGGGACAACGUUUCGAAAGGAACGCUAAUACCGCAUACGUCCUACGGGAGAAAGCAGGGGACCUUCGGGCCUUGCGCUAUCAGAUGAACCUAGGUCGGAUUAGCUAGUUGGUGAGGUAAUGGCUCACCAAGGCGACGAUCCGUAACUGGUCUGAGAGGAUGAUCAGUCACACUGGAACUGAGACACGGUCCAGAGUCCUACGGGAGGGAGCAGUGGGGAAUAUUGGACAAUGGGCGAAAGCCUGAUCCAGCCAUGCCGCGUGUGUGAAGAAGGUCUUCGGAUUGUAAAGCACUUUAAGUUGGGAGGAAGGGCAGUAAGUUAAUACCUUUCUGUUUUGACGUUACCGACAGAAUAAGCACCGGCUAACUCCGUGCCAGCAGCCGCAGUAA